AAUAUCUUUCUCUUUUCGUGUUUUUUUUUUUUUUUAUUUUAAAAGAGAAAGUUAACAAGUUACCCGCUUUAUUCAUUUUUUAUAAAAAAAUCUCAAUUAGAAAUAUGAAGGCAACAUCGCUUCAAAUUUAAAAUCUCAGAUACCAAUUAUUAAGCCCUUAACCAAUUAGUAUUUCUUUUUAUUUAGGAGAAUUUUUACUCUCGAAUCUAUGACCUAAU
RNAcentral lists this long non-coding RNA (218 nucleotides) under Ananas comosus (pineapple). Its description in RNAcentral is "long non-coding RNA (ACOM_LNC001370)". Lineage: Eukaryota; Viridiplantae; Streptophyta; Magnoliopsida; Poales; Bromeliaceae. The record is from RNAcentral.